AAGCCAAGGAAAGCAGCGUUAUUUCCUUCCCACCACGCACAGAACGGUCAUUAUGGGUUUGCAGGAGGCUUGAAAUAAAGCUUGCUCAGCAAGAGUGACUCCAAUGUUUGGAAUGUGAGAAAUUAAUUUAAAUUCUAGGCCAGUGUGGUUUUAUUAGCACAAGCAGGCUGCAACAAGAUGGGGAUUCAAAUAUUUUGUCCAGAACACACUGAGGAGAUCAUGGCAGAGACUGCUGUACCCCCAGUCACUUGUGCUACUCUCUCUGCAGAGGCUGCAGUUACCUUGAUAAGGUGUUCCAAGGUAGGUACAGGUGUAAACAUCUGCAUGCACAAACACACUCCCCAAAGAAAAAGCAUUUAAUUCUCCCUGGGAAAGAGAGUGUAAAAGCUCCAGCAAUUCAAAUUAGAUGCAGAUGACUCAAUCUCUUAGCUACUGACUAUGCAGUUAUUUUUAAAAUAAUUUUAUGACUGCAGUAAAUCUUUGAGACAGCUCCAUUCUUCACUCAUGCCCCUUAUGGUAGCUCUCUAACCUGAGUGAAGGAUACAGGAUGAUAAUUAACAUUUUGGGACUUCCUGACCUCAAUAGAGAGGGGAAAAGGCCCAAUUUAAUAGCAGAACUCUGCUGCCAGAGCUGAAAGAUUCUAAAGCCAUUUAAGAUAACAAAAGCUUAUCCAUAUCUAAGAAUUCCUGUUUCUUAUGGCUCAUUUUCUACUUUGCUAGGGUAGUGAAAGCAGCAAUUAAAUUCCUCUGCUGCUUCUAUGCAUGAAGCGUAACAACAGCAAUUGUACUUCAGGAUUCUCAAGAAGCACAUUUUUCAUUGCAGCAUUCUCACUUACUUUCACAAGGGGAAGCUUUUUUUAAAAUCAAGCACAGGUAUUUAGCGUCCUUGAGUUUACAUAACACAACAGUGAUCUAUUACACUGUUGCUUGGCUUUGACACUUUCUGCUAAGCUUAUAAAAUUAUCUUUUCUCAUCCUGCAUAGAAAGCAGAUCUAGGAAUUAAAUGCUCUUACACAAGCUAAGGCAAUAUCAUUUGGCUCUCACAAGCUUCAUCAGAGUACCCAGGGCUCUAUUACUCCUAGCUACAAGCACAACUACAUAAUGUUACUUACUAGCACUAACCAGCUUCACUUGGUAUUCAGCUGUGCUCUCAGACUCACAGAAACUAAAGGAAUUGCUGUUAAGAAAGAGACUGGCCCCUCAAGGUUAUACAAAAGACUCUUGUUGGACACUCGGCAGCUAAAAUAAUUGCUGCAAGGAGAGAGACUCCAGCAAGUUAUGCAAUUGUGUCAUUGGCCAGCAUCAGGCUCUCAUCCACCCUGUCUGUGAAGGAUCCAGGCACUACACGACACUCCCGUGGCAAUCCUUCAGGAGCUCCACGGCCCCCCUGCGCUGUGACACGCAGCCGUGGAGGUGGGAAGCAAAGGAGGAGGACUAAAUUAAAAACUGUCAAAUCAGAAAGCAUAACUUGUUCUGUAAGAGAUCUGAUACUGGUCUGUACGAUUUAUUGAUGUACUAGACAUACAUAACAUAGAGCUUAUUUUAUUCACUUUUAUGAAAGCCUAGAUAUCACAUUUCAGCAACUGCACAGAACCAGGAGAUCUAUUACUGCUCUACUAAAUCUUCUUCGCCUAACAGAAUUGCUUUUGGAGAGAGACACAGUUUGAAUCCAGGACAAUUACAUCACUCUCGUGAACUUAUGGAAAGUGAGAACAACAGAGUGGUAGGUCCUCAAGGUGUGGAUUUCUCCAAAGCUGAGCUAAAAGUGACAUGAUUUCCACAAAUUUCUCCUGGGAUCUUCACGCCAUGUCAGAAGUGUCUGCUUCACAGUCUGGAAUUGUUGGGAGGUUGUUGCACAUGGAGGUGUCACUUGAGGAUAAUGCUUCUGAUAAAUAUUACUGCAUCACUGUGGAGGGGCAGAGCUGCAU
Molecule: long non-coding RNA, 1927 nt
Organism: Zonotrichia albicollis (white-throated sparrow)
Lineage: Eukaryota; Metazoa; Chordata; Aves; Passeriformes; Passerellidae
Source: RefSeq, a predicted model, not a curated record